AGCCUGAGGAUCUCCUGCAGUGCCACAGGAGCUCUUCUGUCCUGCCUUUCUUUGCAGCUGAACCUGCCGGUGAAGGUCCCACAUCCAGGACUGAAGCUCUGGGAGAUGCUGAGGGUGUGUCUGUGGGGAGGACUUCUCAAGCUCCAGGGCUGGAUGCUUGGCCCCAACCCAGCUCCCAUGGCAGGGGUGAGUAGUGUGUACCUGCUGAUCCCACAGGAUGAGCCCCGCUUUUGUGGGAUCCAUUCCUGGGAAAUGGAACUACUUUCUCUUAAGGUCCUCCAAAAGGAAAGACCCAAGAUACUGCAGCCAAAACGUCUCAUGAGGCAGAUGAAUUCCUGAGACAAACACAGAAGGAAACACCCCGAGGACAAGUGAUGGACCAAAAGAUUGUGCAGAAGGAGGAGCACCCAGGGAGAAGCAGUGGCUCACUGGCAGCCCCUGCUGCAGGAAGGAAGGCGAUGGCAGACACGGGCACAGGCA
Long non-coding RNA from Passer domesticus (house sparrow), 480 nucleotides. RefSeq lists it as uncharacterized. The record is from RefSeq and is a predicted model, not a curated record. Lineage: Eukaryota; Metazoa; Chordata; Aves; Passeriformes; Passeridae. The transcript is spliced from 3 exons.